Molecule: microRNA precursor, 91 nt
Filed under: Canis lupus familiaris (dog)
Lineage: Eukaryota; Metazoa; Chordata; Mammalia; Carnivora; Canidae
Description: mir-8799 microRNA precursor family
Rfam family: mir-8799 microRNA precursor family
Source: Rfam by way of RNAcentral
GGGGGGAGGCCAGAUCCUGGGCUGUGUCCCCGGUGCCCUGUGCUCCCGGGCCUGCACUGUUGGAUUUGCAGUCCCGGCUGGGAAGCCUCAU